CUUCCGCUGGAACGCGUGGAUGAGCUGGGAAGAAAUAGGGGAGACGCUUGGAGAUGAUGAACGUUGGGAAGCUCCCCAUGGCCGCUGGCUCGAACGGAUGGAAUGUGGCGACGGUUGGGAAGCUGAGAAGACUCCUCUAAUGGCUGGAAUUCAUUUGCUGUAAAGGAAGUGGAGGGAUGUUGAAACACGGUUGAAUUAAAGAGAAUGUGAACCGUUGGGAUGUUGAGAAGACUUCUCGGCUGAGAUUGUUCCUAAACAGAGGAUAUGGGAUAUUGAUCAUGUUGCAUGUUCUGGGAGGUCACGGAUAGUUGAGAAGUUUGGGAAAUUUUAAAGUCCCCAUGCUACGGACAUUGGAAAAUUUGUUGAGCUCGGGCUACCGGGCAUUGGGCUGAAACCAGCGUUAUUGAAUCUCUUGGAUUACUUGCACUCAAACACAAA
Molecule: long non-coding RNA, 438 nt
Filed under: Phoenix dactylifera (date palm)
Lineage: Eukaryota; Viridiplantae; Streptophyta; Magnoliopsida; Arecales; Arecaceae
Description: long non-coding RNA (PDAC_LNC005922)
Source: RNAcentral